GUCGAACGGUAACAGAACUAGCUUGCUAGUUGCUGACGAGUGGCGGACGGGUGAGUAACGCGUAGGAAUCUACCGAGUAGUGGGGGACAACAGUUGGAAACGACUGCUAAUACCGCAUAAUCCCUGAGGGGGAAAGGAGGGGAUCUGUUUACAGACCUUUCGCUAUUUGAUGAGCCUGCGUGAGAUUAGCUAGUUGGUGAGGUAAUGGCUCACCAAGGCGACGAUCUCUAGCUGGUCUGAGAGGAUGAUCAGCCACACUGGAACUGAGACACGGUCCAGACUCCUACGGGAGGCAGCAGUGGGGAAUAUUGCACAAUGGGGGAAACCCUGAUGCAGCCAUGCCGCGUGUGUGAAGAAGGCCUUCGGGUUGUAAAGCACUUUCAGCGAGGAGGAAAGGAGUAUGUUUAAUAAACGUGCUCUGUGACGUUACUCGCAGAAGAAGCACCGG
RNAcentral lists this ribosomal RNA (448 nucleotides) under uncultured Gammaproteobacteria bacterium. RNAcentral describes it as "bacterial SSU rRNA". It matches the Rfam family "Bacterial small subunit ribosomal RNA", at positions 61 to 496 of the family's 1533-position model. The record is from RNAcentral. Lineage: Bacteria; Pseudomonadati; Pseudomonadota; Gammaproteobacteria.